This 419-nucleotide long non-coding RNA is filed under the name Homo sapiens (human). Its description in RNAcentral is "long non-coding RNA NONHSAT066673". The record is from RNAcentral. Lineage: Eukaryota; Metazoa; Chordata; Mammalia; Primates; Hominidae.
UCUGUCCUUACAGCAGACAAGAUCCAAAGUGAGGUGGAGACUGUUCCAGAAGCAGGACGACAUGAAGAGCUUUACUGGGGGCAAAUCUGGAAACAGAUUGCAAGUGAUUUAAUCAAGUAUGAAGACUCUAUGAUAAGUAUUUCUCGGUUCCCCAGACAAGGUGAUUUGUCCUGCCAGGUUAGGGCAGGACUAUAUACAACUCACACAGGACAGAAAUUUUACCAAUGUGAUGAGUACAAAAAAUCCUUCACUGAUGUCUUCAACUUUGAUCUUCAUCAACAGUUACACUCAGGAGAGAAGUCUCAUACAUGUGAUGAGUGUGGAAAAAGCUUCUGUUACAUCUCAGCCCUUCAUAUUCAUCAAAGAGUCCACAUGGGAGAGAAAUGCUAUAAGUGUGACGUGUGUGGUAAGGAAUUUAG